RNAcentral lists this ribosomal RNA (495 nucleotides) under uncultured bacterium. RNAcentral describes it as "partial 16S ribosomal RNA". It matches the Rfam family "Bacterial small subunit ribosomal RNA", at positions 28 to 507 of the family's 1533-position model. The record is from RNAcentral.
GACGAACGCUGGCGGCGUGCCUAAUACAUGCAAGUAGAACGCUGAAGGAGGAGCUUGCUCUUCUGGAUGAGUUGCGAACGGGUGAGUAACGCGUAGGUAACCUGCCUGGUAGCGGGGGAUAACUCUUGGAAACGAUAGCUAAUACCGCAUAACAGUAGAUGUUGCAUGACAUUUGCUUAAAAGGUGCAAUUGCACCACUACCAGAUGGACCUGCGUUGUAUUAGCUAGUUGGUGGGGUAACGGCUCACCAAGGCGACGAUACAUAGCCGACCUGAGGGGGGGAUCAGCCACACUGGGACUGAGACACGGCCCAGACUCCUACGGGAAGCAGCAGUAGGGAAGCUUCGGCAAUGGACGGAAGGCUGACCGAGCAACGCCGCGUGAGUGAAGAAGGGUUUCGGAUCGUAAAGCUCGGUUGUAAGAGAAGAACGAGUGUGAGAGUGGAAAGUUCACACUGUGACGGUAUCUUAUCAGAAAGGGACGGCUAACUACGUG